GGUGGUUUAGUAAAUUACAAAUUUGAUUUGAGAAGAUUUUUAGAAACGGGGGUACGUUUGGUAAUUGUUAGGACUUAUUAUGAAAGAGAAUAAUGGAAUCAGGGGCAAAAGGAUAAAUAUUUGAUUUAAUUUGAAAGGACUCCAUGAGGAGGGACCAAAAUGGUAAAUAUGGAAAAGCCGUGAAAUGGAUGGGGUAUAUAGCCAAUGGCUUCUUAGUCCAAACCCUAACCCUAAAUGAUGGAAGCGGCCGCCACCCUUAUCCCUCCACUCCUCCAGCCGCCGUCACCACCCAACUCCCUCUUACCUUCCCGAUCAGUCGAAGCUCCAAGACUCCGAACGACCACCAGUGAAUCAUGUUGUCGGCAAAGUUGAAGACUGUCAGAUUACGGGGAUGUCGCAACAAGUGAAGGGUGGCAUACUAGACAUCGUCGUGUUGCUCGUCACCGCUGACGGAGUGGGAACCACCAUUCGAGUGACGGUGGUUGCUGCUGGCGAAAUCAAGGAUUGCUAGGUCGACGUUCGUCCCGUGGGCGGUGAGAAACCGAGUCAGUUUCUAUUUGCGGUUGUUUCCGGUGGCGAACAAAACCCCCAACCUCAUCCGCUGCCGCUGGCUCGCUCCUGUUUGCUUCGGUAAUCGUCGCCACCCCGAAGAGGUUGUCGUGUUCGCGUGGAUUUCCCUUCUGUCGAGUUGGGUUGUGACGAACCACCAUGGUAGCCGGCCAUGGUGGCUGCUGCCACCGUCAAUCCCCCUUCAAGAUCGAUGAAGAGUUGCUCGGUGGGUGUCUAUCUUAGUGUGUUUGUUUAUUUCAGCUAAGUGAUGUUUGGUGUGGCUUGUUUAGUCGGAAAAUGAGAACAACACCAUCACCNNNCUAGUCGGAAAAUGAGAACAACCACCACCAUCACCACCACCACCGUGAGGUGGUAGCUGCCGCCACGAGCCACCACCGGCCACCAUGGUGUGGCUGUGUGUGUAUUAGUUAGUGUGUGUUAGUGUGUGUGUGAUUGUGUUUGGAUGAAUCAUUGUAAUUGUAAUUAGUUUGGUUAAUAAUAAAAAUAAUAGUAACCACCACCGGAAGGUGGUGCCCGCCGCCGUGUGCUGCCGUAGACCACCACUCCCGGAGGUGGUAGUAGGUGGUGCCCCACUAGCAAAACCCUAAUGGGCUUAAGGAUUAGUUUUGGGCCUAUUGGGCCCUGUUUGGGUGAAAAACCCUAAUUAGGAUUUAUAAAACCAUAAUCUUGAGUAAUUGGGCCUUGGACUUAUUUGGACCUACAUUUGGGCCAUUGGUAAUGGAAUUAUGUAUGAAGCCCAAAUUAGUUCAUAUCAUUUAUCUAGUAGGGUAAAGUCCUUAAUGGAUUAAGCCCUUAAUGGGAUAAGUAAGAAACAUUUAACCCUAAUUGUCAUUUUAUGUGAAACCCUAGUUUCACUUGGGCCUUAAGUUGGGCCUUUCGAUUGGGCUUUAGUAAUUGGUUUAUUAAUGAGCCAUCCAAGAAUAAUUAAAUGGACUAGAGUAAUUAGUUGGGCUUUAGGGUAAGGCCCAUAUGAAGGAUUGGGCCAUAGAUGGGCCAUAGUUUGGGCCUAGAUGGUUGUAUGAUAUUGGGCCCUUAAAAUAAGACAUGUUGGACUGGACUGCACAAUUGGGCCUUAAGGGAAGUCCAUGUAGAGGUAUGGGCCCAAUUUGGAAAGUUGGGCCAUAUGUUGGGCUUUGAUCCCUAGUUGACUUUGGGCCUAUGGAUUGGGCCUUAGGCUUGGGUAAGCCAAGCUAGGGGUAAUGUAGUAAUUAUCCAAAGUAUGUAUUUAUAGUUAUAUAGUGGAACCCAAUUAUUAAUUGGGUGUUAUUUUGAUAUUGAAAAAUCGGGAGUCUGUCAUCCAGCAGCUAUGGUUUUGUCAGCAGGACUUCAGCAGCGUGAGGUGAGUUUCCUUCCAGUAGGAACGGGUCUACGGCCACAAUGCCGGCCCGUUUAGUUAGCAGUAGUUCCAGACCUCGGUCUGAUGCAGUAGUUAGAGUGCUCGAUGUCUUUGUGAUUCAAGCAUGUUUUGUGUUACGUGUUCCGGACUCUGGUCCGAUGCAGUAUGCAGUAUAUGUAUUCAUACUAGUUGAUCUGUUUAUGCUAUGCUAUGUUCAGUCAGUUUCCGGACUUCGGUCCGAUGCAGGGAACGGGGUCCCAGUGAGUUCCGGACUUCAGUCCGAUGCAGUUAGUUCCGGACUUCUGUCCGAUGCAGGGGACGGGGUCCCAGUCAGUUCCGGACUUCGGUCCGAUGCAGAGGGCAAGGCCCUGGUUAGUCCCGGACUUCGGUCCGAUGCAGUUUCCGGACUUCAGUCUGAUGCAGUGGGCAAGGCCCAACAUUUGUUUAUAUGUUAUUGUAUGGUAUGUGGUAGUUUGGGGGAGCUCACUAAGCUUCGUGCUUACAGUUUCAGUUUGGUUUCAGGUACUCAGUUUUCAAAAGAGGAGCUCGGGAAUGUUGCAGUGCAUACACCAUCUGUUCAGCCUGGGAUGUUUAUACUUUGAUAGUUUGACAAUUGUUACGAUAUUUUGAGAUACACUGUCUAUGAUUUUUAUAUGAUGUUCGAUGACUAUGGUUUUAUUAUUAAAUGAAAACAAAAUUUUUAGAUUGUAUUUUUGGGAUGUUACACAUUGUACUCGUUGAUACCCAUCUUCCCGGAGAAGAUCCUUUACAAAUUUAUCAAUCUGUGCUUACUAGUGAAUCUCUAGUUUGACUUGCAA
This 2724-nucleotide long non-coding RNA is filed under the name Lactuca sativa (garden lettuce). RNAcentral's name for it is "long non-coding RNA (LSAT_LNC008176)". The record is from RNAcentral. Lineage: Eukaryota; Viridiplantae; Streptophyta; Magnoliopsida; Asterales; Asteraceae.